RNAcentral lists this ribosomal RNA (497 nucleotides) under uncultured bacterium. Its description in RNAcentral is "partial 16S ribosomal RNA". It matches the Rfam family "Bacterial small subunit ribosomal RNA", at positions 28 to 507 of the family's 1533-position model. The record is from RNAcentral.
GAUGAACGCUGGCGGCGUGCCUAAUACAUGCAAGUCGAGCGAACAGACGAGGAGCUUGCUCCCCUGAUGUUAGCGGCGGACGGGUGAGUAACACGUGGAUAACCUACCUAUAAGACUGGGAUAACUUCGGGAAACCGGAGCUACUACCGGAUAAUAUGUUGAACCGCAUGGUUCCACAGUGAAAGACGGUCUUGCUGUCACUUAUAGAUGGAUCCGCGCCGCAUUAGCUAGUUGGUAAGGUAACGGCUUACCAAGGCAACGAGGCGUAGCCGACCUGAGAGGGUGGUCGGCCAGACUGGAACAGAGGCACAGUCCAGACUCCUGCAGUGGGCAGCAGUAGGGAAUCUUACGCAAGGGACGAGAGCCGGACAGUGCAACACGGCGGGAGUGAUGAAGGUCUUCUGAUCGGAGAGCUCUGUAAGUAGGAAAGAACAAAUGUGUAAUUAACUGUGCACGUCUUGACGGUACCUAAACAGAAAGCCACGGCUAACUACGUG